GUCCAGGGGCGGGAAUCGAACCCACAACCUUCUGCUGGACAUGGCACCUGCCCGGUAAGCAGAAGGUUGUGGGUUCGAUUCCCGCCCCUGGACA
Molecule: non-coding RNA, 94 nt
Organism: Cordylochernes scorpioides
Lineage: Eukaryota; Metazoa; Arthropoda; Arachnida; Pseudoscorpiones; Chernetidae
Source: the annotation of a GenBank genome assembly